RNAcentral lists this unclassified non-coding RNA (366 nucleotides) under Hevea brasiliensis (rubber tree). The record is from RNAcentral. Lineage: Eukaryota; Viridiplantae; Streptophyta; Magnoliopsida; Malpighiales; Euphorbiaceae.
AUGCGCCAGCCUUCCCAAAUUCCUGAAUGUGAUAAAUCACUUUAGCUUAAUGAAACAAAGAGUACACGUUAAUAACAUAUUAAAGUGAAUAAAAAGCAAACACAGCUCAAAAAACUAAUACAUUUAACAGAUUAUUUGACUAGUGAAGGUCAGGCCCCAGAAUAUAUAAUCCAUAAAAUUCUAUCAUAUGCAGGAAAAAGGUGGAUAAGUAUAAUAUAUCAUAGCUCUAGAAUCAUCAUAUCCAGGUUGACUCAGGAAUCUGAAGCAGAUUAGUAAUACCAUGCUGAGGUUUGCCAAGUUGGCAUUAUAACAAAAACAAAAUACUUUGUAUUGCCUAAGCAUUUUGGAACUAUGAAUGGAUACUAA